Molecule: small RNA, 1127 nt
Filed under: Nigrospora sp. 5 MU-2012
Lineage: Eukaryota; Fungi; Ascomycota; Sordariomycetes; Amphisphaeriales; Apiosporaceae
Description: eukaryotic LSU rRNA
Rfam family: Eukaryotic large subunit ribosomal RNA (bases 389-1127)
Source: RNAcentral
CCCAUGUGAACUUAUCUCUUUGUUGCCUCGGCGCAAGCUACCCGGGACCUCGCGCCCCGGGCGGCCCGCCGGCGGACAAACCAAAACUCUUGUUAUCUUAGUUGAUUAUCUGAGUGUCUUAUUUAAUAAGUCAAAACUUUCAACAACGGAUCUCUUGGUUCUGGCAUCGAUGAAGAACGCAGCGAAAUGCGAUAAGUAAUGUGAAUUGCAGAAUUCAGUGAAUCAUCGAAUCUUUGAACGCACAUUGCGCCCAUUAGUAUUCUAGUGGGCAUGCCUGUUCGAGCGUCAUUUCAACCCCUAAGCACAGCUUAUUGUUGGGAACCUACGGCUUCGUAGUUCCUCAAAGACAUUGGCGGAGUGGCAGUGGUCCUCUGAGCGUAGUAAUCUUUUAUCUCGCUUCUGUUAGGUGCUGCCCCCCCGGCCGUAAAACCCCCAAACGGCGAGUGAAGCGGGAACAGCUCAAAUUUGAAAUCNGGCCCUCGGGUCCGAGUUGUAAUUUGUAGAGGAUGCUUUUGGUGCGGUGCCUUCCGAGUUCCCUGGAACGGGACGCCUUAGAGGGUGAGAGCCCCGUACGGUUGGACGCCUAGCCUCUGUAAAGCUCCUUCGACGAGUCGAGUAGUUUGGGAAUGCUGCUCUAAAUGGGAGGUAUAUUUCUUCUAAAGCUAAAUACUGGCCAGAGACCGAUAGCGCACAAGUAGAGUGAUCGAAAGAUGAAAAGCACUUUGAAAAGAGGGUUAAAUAGCACGUGAAAUUGUUGAAAGGGAAGCGUUUAUCACCAGACUUUUUCUAGGGGGAUCAUCCGGUGUUCUCACCGGUGCACUUCCCCUGGUUGAGGCCAGCAUCGGUUUUCGGAGGGGGAUAAAAGCUUCGGGAAUGUGACUCCCUCGGGAGUGUUAUAGCCCGUUGCAUAAUACCCUUCUGGGGACCGAGGUUCGCGCAUCUGCAAGGAUGCUGGCAUAAUGGUGAUCAACGACCCGUCUUGAAACACGGACCAAGGAGUCGAACAUUUAUGCGAGUGUUUGGGUGUCAAACCCUCACGCGUAAUGAAAGUGAACGGAGGUGAGAGCCCUUACGGGUGCAUCAUCGACCGAUCCUGAUGUCUUCGGAUGGAUUUGAGUAAGAGCAUA